RNAcentral lists this ribosomal RNA (708 nucleotides) under Triticum aestivum (bread wheat). Its description in RNAcentral is "partial small subunit ribosomal RNA". The stretch from base 1 to 59 matches the Rfam family "tRNA", at positions 15 to 71 of the family's 71-position model. The record is from RNAcentral. Lineage: Eukaryota; Viridiplantae; Streptophyta; Magnoliopsida; Poales; Poaceae.
AUGGAUAAGGCGCUGGUCUACGAAACCAGAGAUUCUGGGUUCGAUCCCCAGCGGAGUCGAUUCCUUUUUCUUUUUCUUUUGCUCCUGCCGCCAUUUUUUCAUUUUUUUUGCUGGGUGAAGCGGAGAAGACGAGAGGAGAUGGCGGCGAAGGAGGCCGAUGGGGACCACUUCAUCGAGAUGGUGUCGGCGGGUGCGCUUUACCGCGGCGGCGAAUGGGAGCGCAAGUACUGGAGCUGCUCAAGGGGCAAGGAUCGCCACCCGUACCCGGUGGGCUAUCACGCCGUCCGCCAUUUCUCCGGGAUAUCGUACGCCAUGGAGAUCCAGCAAGGACCCAGAGGGCCUGUAUUCCAGGUCACAUCCACCGAGGGAGAUUGCGCGACAGGGCAGACACCGGACAUAGCUUGGAAGAACUUCCAUAAGAAGACAGGGGCCAAAGUCAGGGACUGGCAGAGGGCGGGGAGCUUCCCUCAGAAGAUUGACGGCGUCGAGCUUUUUGGGUUAAAAAAUGCAUCUGUUCAGAGACUGCUUCGUCAGCUUCUAGUAGAUUCGACUGGAUUUGGAAUAGACAUGCCUUCUCCAAAAAUUUAUGGUGCUGCUUCACCGUCGAGCAGAAACCGUGAUAGUACAAAGUCAUGCAGUGAUGACCUGUUUCAGAACAGUUGUCUUUUGCCGUCUGGUAAAAUUUUGGUGGCAGCCGUUGAUUGGUGA